GAGGGUGUAGCUCAGUGGUAGAGUGCAUGCUUAGCAUGCAUGAGGUCCUGGGUUCAAUCCCCAGUCCCUCU
RNAcentral lists this transfer RNA (71 nucleotides) under Camelus bactrianus (Bactrian camel). It matches the Rfam family "tRNA". From Rfam's summary of the family: Transfer RNA (tRNA) molecules are approximately 80 nucleotides in length. Their secondary structure includes four short double-helical elements and three loops (D, anti-codon, and T loops). Lineage: Eukaryota; Metazoa; Chordata; Mammalia; Artiodactyla; Camelidae. RNAcentral also lists the same sequence under 2 other names. The record is from Rfam by way of RNAcentral.